This 496-nucleotide ribosomal RNA is filed under the name uncultured bacterium. RNAcentral describes it as "partial 16S ribosomal RNA". It matches the Rfam family "Bacterial small subunit ribosomal RNA", at positions 29 to 507 of the family's 1533-position model. The record is from RNAcentral.
ACGAACGCUGGCGGCGUGCCUAAUACAUGCAAGUUGAGCGAUGAAGAUUGGUGCUUGCACCAAUUUGAAGAGCAGCGAACGGGUGAGUAGCGCGUGGGGAAUCUGCCUUUGAGCGGGGGACAACAUUUGGAAACGAAUGCUAAUACCGCAUAACAACUUUAAACAUAAGUUUUAAGUUUGAAAGAUGCAAUUGCAUCACUCAAAGAUGAUCCCGCGUUGUAUUAGCUAGUUGGUGAGGUAAAGGCUCACCAAGGCGAUGAUACAUAGCCGACCUGAGAGGGUGAUCGGCCACAUUGGGACUGAGACACGGCCCAAACUCCUACGGGAGGCAGCAGUAGGGAAUCUUCGGCAAUGGACGAAAGUCUGACCGAGCAACGCCGCGUGAGUGAAGAAGGUUUUCGGAUCGUAAAACUCUGUUGGUAGAGAAGAACGUUGGUGAGGGUGGAAAGCUCAUCAAGUGACGGUAACUACCCAGAAAGGGACGGCUAACUACGUG